CAUCCCAUAUAAACGUACAUAGCAGCUUGUCUAGUAUCAUCAUUUGAACUCCAUUUACUUGUAUAUAGCUCAUUUAUAGUUCAAUGAGUAUCAUAAACAUUAGUUCAGCGUUUCUCAACCAGGGGGUCGCGAACACCUUGACUCGGGGUCGCGCAGGUCAAAAAUAAUAAAACGCUGAUUUACAAAAUGUACCUUUUUAUUUAAAUAUUUAAGACUUUUUAUUGAAAAAAUUAAAAUAAUAAUAAUAAAAUUAUCCCGAUAAGGAUAUACAU
Cinara cedri is the source of this 272-nucleotide non-coding RNA. NCBI's taxonomy places the organism in Eukaryota, Metazoa, Arthropoda, Insecta, Hemiptera, Aphididae. The record is from the annotation of a GenBank genome assembly.